Molecule: long non-coding RNA, 189 nt
Organism: Scatophagus argus
Lineage: Eukaryota; Metazoa; Chordata; Actinopteri; Scatophagidae
Exons: 3
Source: RefSeq, a predicted model, not a curated record
AGGAAAUAAUUAAGAGGCUGCGUGCUCUCCACAGACUCCCUUUGUUCCCUGCCAUGCUGCCACACCAUAGAUGGAGUGAUAUAGAGCAGCACUCCCCUCAUCCUCUGAUGGAUGCAUAAUUAAAAAAUCAUCCAAUCAUCCAAACCUUUGUCCACUCACCCUCUGUCCUAAUAAAACCUUUGAAAUGGC